Long non-coding RNA from Cheilinus undulatus (humphead wrasse), 274 nucleotides. RefSeq lists it as uncharacterized. The transcript has 3 exons. The record is from RefSeq and is a predicted model, not a curated record. Lineage: Eukaryota; Metazoa; Chordata; Actinopteri; Labriformes; Labridae.
CUCAGUGAAGCCAGUGUUCAACGUCUUACAGCAGAAGAAAUUCGACGACAGACAUGAAUAACAAGAGCACCAGGUGACACUGUACAGGGUGACGUAGCCAGACAAGUCCCAUCAAACGCUUUACGAGUUUAAGCUGAGAGGGUCGGUGAGCUGCAGCAGGGUGGUGGUGCAUCCAGUGAGGAGAACGCAAGCUGAAGCACUGUGACAGGCAGCUGCAGAGUGUAUGCACAGCAUAGCAAGCUGCAGGCCUGUUUCUGUGCACUUUCACAGAGUG